RNAcentral lists this ribosomal RNA (497 nucleotides) under uncultured bacterium. RNAcentral describes it as "partial 16S ribosomal RNA". It matches the Rfam family "Bacterial small subunit ribosomal RNA", at positions 28 to 507 of the family's 1533-position model. The record is from RNAcentral.
GAUGAACGCUGGCGGCGUGCCUAAUACAUGCAAGUCGAGCGAACGGACGAGAAGCUUGCUUCUCUGAUGUUAGCGGCGGACGGGUGAGUAACACGUGGAUAACCUACCUAUAAGACUGGGAUAACUUCGGGAAACCGGAGCUAAUACCGGAUAAUAUUUUGAACCGCAUGGUUCAAAAGCGAAAGACGGUCUUGCUGUCACUUAUAGAUGGAUCCGCGCUGCAUUAGCUAGUUGGUAAGGUAACGGCUUACCAAGGCAACGAUGCAUAGCCGACCUGGGAGGGUGAUCGGCCACACUGGAACUGAGACACGGUCCAGACUCCUACGGGAGGCAGCAGUAGGGAAUCUUCCGCAAUGGGCGAAAGCCUGACGGAGCAACGCCGCGUGAGUGAUGAAGGUCUUCGGAUCGUAAAACUCUGUUAUUAGGGAAGAACAUAUGUGUAAGUAACUGUGCACAUCUUGACGGUACCUAAUCAGAAAGCCACGGCUAACUACGUG